AUCUCACAAUGGCAAACUAUGAAACAAUGUAACUUCAUCAAGAGAUUAUUGCUUAUUGAAAACUUUUCCCAAUAUCCCGCUAUGGUGACUUACAACAAAGUUGCUAUUAGCAAUUUUUGAUAGUCUUUUCGGAGA
Molecule: small nuclear RNA, 135 nt
Organism: Carcharodon carcharias (great white shark)
Lineage: Eukaryota; Metazoa; Chordata; Chondrichthyes; Lamniformes; Lamnidae
Product: U4 spliceosomal RNA
Exons: 1
Source: RefSeq, a predicted model, not a curated record